RNAcentral lists this transfer RNA (69 nucleotides) under Regalecus glesne (king of herrings). Its description in RNAcentral is "tRNA-Gly". It matches the Rfam family "tRNA". From Rfam's summary of the family: Transfer RNA (tRNA) molecules are approximately 80 nucleotides in length. The record is from RNAcentral. Lineage: Eukaryota; Metazoa; Chordata; Actinopteri; Lampriformes; Regalecidae.
AUCUUCCUAGUACAGACAGUAUAAGUGACUUCCAAUCACAUGGCCUUGGUUUAACCCCAGGGGAAGGUA